Molecule: long non-coding RNA, 996 nt
Organism: Gallus gallus (chicken)
Lineage: Eukaryota; Metazoa; Chordata; Aves; Galliformes; Phasianidae
Exons: 3
Source: RefSeq, a predicted model, not a curated record
CAGACAUUGGAUGAAUUUUCAUUUUGCAGAAGAAACAGACAAUGGACUUGCCACAGCAAUCUGCCACUGCUAACUCAAACAGCGCUGAAGGAUAAGUACAACUCCCCAUCAGGCUGCAAAUGAAGAACAACAGUUAAAAUCUCUCCGCUUGAAAGCUUGCUGCACAUGCUCACUUCCCUUUCUGUCGUCUUUGCUCUUCUGUGACAAAUGUGCUCAUGAAGCUCUGAAAACUGCACUGGAUUUGGCCUGGCAGAUGAGGUGGUAUCAAAGCAAGAUACAAGGAUGAAGACGAUCAAAAAGCACAUCCAGAGGAGAUUGCAGUUAAUCGUCAUCACCAGACUCACAUGAGUAUGCAAUCCUGUCAUUUCCACAAGUGUAGAGGAUCAGGCAUGGGAAUAGCUGGACAAGGGACAGGGAGGACAUGGUACGUACUCUGACAAUUUUUAAUUUAACAAGUGACUGGUAAUAGUUUGUGACUGUGAAGCAAGUUCUGUCUUAACAUCCUGCAAGGGAAGGAACUGGAUUACAAAAAAUGUAGAGCUUUACUGAAGUAAAGGUGAGUGUCUGAAGUCAGCAGUAGGGAAAACCAUCCUAGGUCCCUCUUUGCUGGGCUAUAAAACCUAGUUCUCCUCCAUCGACACGGUGUUAUAGAAAUAGCUUUUACAGACAGGUGUGGGUUUUUUUUCAGACUUGAAAGCUGUAAAAUUCAGGAGGCCAUGGGAAAGCUAUCAGAACACUUCAUCUAGCAAGUGUAUUGUUAAAGUCUGUGAAACUGGCAAAGAGCUGCUCACUCUCCUCAUUUCAAAAUCAGCAGGGUAAACUGCUCCAUUAAAAAAAUCAGUUUAAGAGUUGAAAAAAAAAAAAAAAAUCUUCCUGAUAUCUAGCAGUACUUUUUGGCAUGGUUUACACAUAGUCAAGCAACACUUUCUCACACACAGCAAAUGAUAUGGAGCCUAUAGAUCUUUGUCUUCCAUUUUCCUUGGAAAACGCAAUGUU